CCGGCGCACGGGUGAGUAACGCGUAUGCAACCUGCCCGUUUCAGCGGGAUAACCCGGAGAAAUCCGGCCUAAUACCGCAUGUGGCCGAGGGGAGGCAUCUUCUUUCGGCCAGAGGAGGCAACUCCGGAGACGGAUGGGCAUGCGUGACAUUAGCUUGUUGGCGGGGUAACGGCCCACCAAGGCGACGAUGUCUAGGGGUUCUGAGAGGAAGGUCCCCCACACUGGUACUGAGACACGGACCAGACUCCUACGGGAGGCAGCAG
Molecule: ribosomal RNA, 263 nt
Filed under: uncultured bacterium
Lineage: Bacteria
Description: partial 16S ribosomal RNA
Rfam family: Bacterial small subunit ribosomal RNA
Source: RNAcentral